CAGGCUCCAACUUUCUACUGCGUUCAUUCAAUGCAACUGUGGAUCAAAUAUACAUUAUAAAAAUUUAUUCAAAGGGACAAAUAAUUUUUGGGGAAAGAAAUACAGCAGAAUUUAAAUUGAAUAAAAAAAUAAAAGAAAUAUAAUUGGAGGGAGAAAAUAGCAAAAAAUUAGCAUAUUCAGCUGCUCAACCAACGCAUUUAACACCAGCUUCUCAACUUUCUGUUUUUAAUUGUUUCUCAUAUAUUCAAUAAUCAGAAUAUUAGUUCCCUCACUUCCACCACCAUUGCAUGACAACAAUCCCUGUUUCCCAACAAUAGAAAAUGAAG
Molecule: unclassified non-coding RNA, 326 nt
Filed under: Hevea brasiliensis (rubber tree)
Lineage: Eukaryota; Viridiplantae; Streptophyta; Magnoliopsida; Malpighiales; Euphorbiaceae
Source: RNAcentral